This 256-nucleotide long non-coding RNA is filed under the name Elaeis guineensis (African oil palm). RNAcentral's name for it is "long non-coding RNA (EGUI_LNC049436)". The record is from RNAcentral. Lineage: Eukaryota; Viridiplantae; Streptophyta; Magnoliopsida; Arecales; Arecaceae.
CAGUCUUUGUAUGGAUUUUUUUAUAGAAACUAGAUGAUUUUAUGUGGCUGUGAGCGAUUUGAGGAAUAUCCUCUCCAAGUGUUAAACCAAAGAAGAUCAAAAUCCAAUUAGUUUGGUAAUCAUCUAUAAUCUAUCUUGAUCAUACCGUUAGAUCUAGGAUUUCAGCAUCGAUGAGAUCGAUGUGUAUUUUUAUUUUCAGAUCUAAAAUAUAUCAUAUUUUAUAUUUUCUUUAUUGCAUGAUAGUCUAGAUUAGAUC